Molecule: ribosomal RNA, 263 nt
Filed under: uncultured Staphylococcus sp.
Lineage: Bacteria; Bacillati; Bacillota; Bacilli; Caryophanales; Staphylococcaceae
Description: partial 16S ribosomal RNA
Rfam family: Bacterial small subunit ribosomal RNA
Source: RNAcentral
CGGACGGGUGAGUAACACGUGGAUAACCUACCUAUAAGACUGGGAUAACUUCGGGAAACCGGAGCUAAUACCGGAUAAUAUAUUGAACCGCAUGGUUCAAUAGUGAAAGACGGCUUUGCUGUCACUUAUAGAUGGAUCCGCGCCGCAUUAGCUAGUUGGUAAGGUAACGGCUUACCAAGGCAACGAUGCGUAGCCGACCUGAGAGGGUGAUCGGCCACACUGGAACUGAGACACGGUCCAGACUCCUACGGGAGGCAGCAGAA